This 465-nucleotide ribosomal RNA is filed under the name uncultured bacterium. Its description in RNAcentral is "partial 16S ribosomal RNA". It matches the Rfam family "Bacterial small subunit ribosomal RNA", at positions 28 to 507 of the family's 1533-position model. The record is from RNAcentral.
GACGAACGCUGGCGGCGUGCUUAACACAUGCAAGUCGAACGGAAAGGCCCUGCUUGCAGGGUACUCGAGUGGCGAACGGGUGAGUAACACGUGGGUGAUCUGCCCUGCACUUCGGGAUAAGCCUGGGAAACUGGGUCUAAUACCGGAUAGGAGCCAUUUUUAGUGUGAUGGUUGGAAAGUUUUUUCGGUGUAGGAUGAGCUCGCGGCCUAUCAGCUUGCUGGUGGGGUAAUGGCCUACCAAGGCGGCGACGGGUAGCCGGCCUGGGAGGGUGGACGGCCACAGUGGGACUGAGAUACGGCCCAGACUCCGACGGGAGGCAGCAGGGGGGAAGAUUGCACAAUGGGCGCAAGCCUGAUGCAGCGACGCCGCGGGGGGGAUGACGGCCUUAGGGUUGUAAACUCCUUUCGCUAGGGACGAAGCUUUUUGUGACGGUACCUAGAGAAGAAGCACCGGCUAACUACGUG